RNAcentral lists this small nuclear RNA (22 nucleotides) under Arabidopsis thaliana (thale cress). RNAcentral's name for it is "snRNA_11911". Lineage: Eukaryota; Viridiplantae; Streptophyta; Magnoliopsida; Brassicales; Brassicaceae. The record is from RNAcentral.
ACAAGUUCAAACACUUGAAACA